This 403-nucleotide ribosomal RNA is filed under the name uncultured bacterium. RNAcentral's name for it is "bacterial SSU rRNA". It matches the Rfam family "Bacterial small subunit ribosomal RNA", at positions 355 to 775 of the family's 1533-position model. The record is from RNAcentral.
UAGGGAAUAUUAGUAAUGGGCGAAAGCCUGAACUAGCAACGCCGCGUGUGCGAAGAAGGCCUUCGGGUUGUAAAGCACUUUUUGAGAGGAUGAGGAAGGACGGUACUCUCAGAAUAAGUCUCGGCUGACUGCGUGCCAGCAGCCGCGGUAACACGUAGGAGGCGAACGUUAUCCGGAUUUACUGGGCGUAAAGCGCGUGUAGGUGGUUUGGUAAGUAGGGCGUGAAAGCUCCUGGCUCAACUGGGAGAGGCCGUUCUAAACUGCCGAACUAGAGGAUGGUAGAGGGAGGUGGAACUCCGGGUGUAGCGGUGGAAUGCGCAGAUAUCCGGAGGAACACCAGUGGCGAAAGCGGCCUCCUGGACCAUUCCUGACACUCAGACGCGAAAGCUAGGGUAGCAAACGG